UGGAAACAGAAGACAUGCAUCAAGGGAGAAUUCCUUAGGGAACUGGGAAAGAUUUCACACAGAAGGUAGGUUUUCAAGCCUGGGAAGCAGAGAGAUAGGAAGGAAGGCUGGGAACGUAGACAAGAACAUCGCAAGUUGUGAGUAUAGAAGACCUCUGGGAAUGAGCCUGCAUGGAAGGUAAAAGUGUGAAUCAAAGGAGUGAUGUUUUGUUUCUACAACUUUUCAUGAACUGAAGUGGAUCUCCCAGCUCCUUGUGUGAAGCAGAAAACUGUAGUUCAUCAAAAAUAAUUGGGUCAGUGAAGUGGUGGUUCACAUUCCCAAAUAUGUACAUCUGGAUUAGGGUUUUAACCUCAGAACAGAAGGUGAUGGGCAUUGAAAUUUUGGUAUAUCCGGGGUUUUGGUACUGAAAACUUCAGUUGAAUAUUGGGGUCAAAAUCCACCCUGUUCGUACAGACUUAGAAGUGG
Molecule: long non-coding RNA, 465 nt
Filed under: Pan troglodytes (chimpanzee)
Lineage: Eukaryota; Metazoa; Chordata; Mammalia; Primates; Hominidae
Description: long non-coding RNA NONPTRT002602
Source: RNAcentral